AGUAGACAAGGACAUGGCGGUAUGUGUAUGGGACAGCCUUCUAAUAAGUGGGACAGGAGAAACUGUAUCUAGGCCAACCUGCAUCUCCACCAGUAUUUGAGUGGAGGAUACUGUCUGCAAUGGAAAAAAGGUCAACACGGUGCAACAGUCCACUCCCAUUAUGGAAAUGCAUCCCAAAAUUCUCCAAAAUCCACCAUAUCCCAAGUCUCAUCUUAAAGGCUGCUGAACAUCUCUUCCAUGCUUCAGGGAGUGUGACAUAAUCUGUGUGGAUGGACUAAUUGACUACUUGAUUGAGUUCCCUGAAACAAUUGAUCCAGCCUAGCAGCAAGUCAACACCUGACUCCGGACUUCGUUUUCCCCGUUGUAGACAGAAUCCAUGAGGGCCUAAACAUCUCUCUGCAUUGUGCCACUCAGGAUUAGAGGAGAUGGAUGGACAUUGAAAAUAGAGAGGGUCUGGAAUUCUCCCCUGGAGGACUCAGUCAUGCUGAACGCUGACAUCUGAACGCAGCAGGGGGACUGCAUGCCUACUGCCUUGACUUCAGUACUUCCUGCAGUCAAACGACCAAAUCGCCCUCUAGUGGCCUCAUGGGUGGAAUGUUAUUCAUAAUUUCCUAAUUAAUAAAUAUUUUUUUAUCCGGUG
Molecule: long non-coding RNA, 640 nt
Filed under: Salmo salar (Atlantic salmon)
Lineage: Eukaryota; Metazoa; Chordata; Actinopteri; Salmoniformes; Salmonidae
Description: lncRNA (ENSSSAG00000066556.2)
Source: RNAcentral